RNAcentral lists this long non-coding RNA (3519 nucleotides) under Triticum aestivum (bread wheat). RNAcentral's name for it is "long non-coding RNA (TAES_LNC008756)". The record is from RNAcentral. Lineage: Eukaryota; Viridiplantae; Streptophyta; Magnoliopsida; Poales; Poaceae.
AAGUUGGAAAAUGGUAGUUCUUCUUUCCGUCUUGAACCUUUAUUUCGAAGACAGCCUUCGAAGCUGCAUAAUGUACUAGAGCACAUAAAGUACACAUGAGCUUGUAUUUAACAUAGGACUUGAUGCUGUCGACAUGGAUACGAAUGUUGAUACUAAUUGAAAAAGGUAAUUUCAUUCUUUAAUGAGAUGUAUUAUUGAGGUUAUUCCAAGAUAUCUAUUUGAUGUAAUACACUAGUCCUAGAAAAGCAACCGCGGCAACUUUUUCACCAUGCGGAAUCAUUAAAUGUAAACCAUAAUAAUGACUGGAUAUAUAAAAAUUAAGAAUGUGAUACAAUAAAUCACAAUAUCCCUUAUACAGUGACCAAAGCAAUAAUACCAUAAUGAUAUAACGAAAUGAAGUGUUGUGGGCACUGGGCCACAUUUCACUCUAAUACUCCAACCCUUUCCAAUCAAGCAUCUCCCCCUCUAGACUUCCUCGCUAAGCAGCAACGAUGCUGAAAGAAACUCGAUGGUCAUGCCGGGGACCCUGGAGAACCGUCUCUGAAGAGUUCUAGCGUCCACUAGCACUGGAGGUGGUGGCAUCUAGAUCAGGGCAUCGCCCCUGGGAUAGGAUGACAACAGUGGGUGGCCGAAAAGGCGCAACAUGUACAUCUCCUUUAGUCAUUAGAUCCAUUGAUGGUGACAGCAUGGCAAGGGCGGAGAUGCUUUGAGGAGGCCACUAGCUAGCUCAGUUUUUCAUUGUUCAGGCCUGUCAACAGAGCAGAUCAGUGGACAGCUUUCAUAGUUUGGAUUGUAAUGUUGAAGGUUAAAUGUUCAGGGCUAAAAACCGGACUUCUGCAAGAAGAGCUGAAAAGAAGAUGGUGUUUUCUAUAUUGUCGCAAAAUAAUGUAUUAUAGAGAUGUUCUGCUUUUACUGUUAGUGGAAUCGGUUCUUACACUGAUUAUAGUUCCUCUGUUGCUGAAGAGGAUGCUCUAUAUAGAUGACCAAAGAAACAAAGCUUUGUCCCAAGAUUGAUUACCAGAAUUGAGCAAUGGGUAUUAGAAUAGUUAUAUGUUUGGUUCAUCAAUUAUUGCCGCGGGUUUAAAUUGCAACCCAGUUUCAAUGAUGUUUUAUUUGCAAGUCCAACCGUCAAUACCGUAACAUUGUACCCUUUGCCCCAAUAGAAGGGUAGCUUUGAGCUGAGGUGGACUUUGGCUAACUGAUGUGGCAGCCACAUCAGCUCUCCACAUCCAAAAUAAAAAAACAUCAUUACAAGAUUUUUUAUUGGCCCUACGUGGCAUCCCUCCCGUACCUUAUUAUCUCCCCUUACUCGUCUCUCUCCCUUGUCUCGGCAAGUGGAAACAUAUGCCAUGGAUGCAGUGGCAUCUCCUCUUCUUCAUUACACACUCUAGCAUCCCUCAGCCGCUUGCUUUCUCAUUCACCCUAGGAAACAUUUGUUCAGCAUUCUCCAUAUCGUCUAGAAGUUAAGGACCUUCACAGUCUGGGUACUCCCGGAAGAUGUCAUUUGGUGGCAGAAGCAUCACUGAGCGGAUACUCCACUCUAAGAUCCCAAGGGUGUCACUUGGUGGUACCCGGAUCUGCAAGAUGAGAAAUUUCACAUCACCUCCUGGCCAUGCCAUCCACUUCCUGGUUAUCUAUCUCCAGUGAGGGACUGUCCGCCUACGCCUGCCAAUGCUAUGGAGGUAUGAAUUGAUGAAUAACACCAUGUCCAACACCUAGAGCAGCCUGGUGGGUGAUGUCAAUGUGUUAUUCUGUUAGUAUUAUUUUGAUUAUUGGAGAAACUUGAGUUCUCAGCAUAUCUUUUCCAUAUGUUACAGGCUCUGUCAACUCAUCUUGUCUUGAUGUGUUUUGUGAGCACACCAAGCCAUGCUCAAAUACGAAAUUAUCUUGACAUGUUCUGCAGGCUGUUGACUGUUCCGAAUUGUCUAUAUUCAUGAACUGAAACAGAUGAUAUUUCCAAUUCAAGCUACAAGGGGUGUUCAGGAUACACUUUGCAAAGCUUACAAGAUAGUACUUAUUUCACAAGCUGCAGCUCUGUUUUACAGAUGCGAGAGACCCAACUUCGCAUUAUUAGAUACAUAGUUAAUCUCAACUGUUGUAGACAUAUAAGAGUUAAAGUUCAGUGUGAAAGUUUAUAGUUUUGGAAUGAUCGAAUGGUAUGUACUUUAUUAGAAGGAUUUGGCAUAUGUACUCUGCUGAAAAUAGAGUAACAGUUCACAUCCACUAUUUGUGUGCAUGAACAGUACUGGGUUAGCAGCACAGAUGGAACCUGACAAUAGAUUAGGGAUAUGAUUCGAUAAGUUUCUCUCUAUUAGAAAUAUGCUUCCUUAGAUUUAGAGAUCGAUUCUUAGUGGUUAAUUAUUAUCCCCAAAUUGCGAUUUUCAGCUAUGAUCUCUUUCUUUGGUACAUAUCGUAGAUCCGUUCGGUCCUCCUUCGCCUGGUGUUAUUUUACUUCUAAUAACUUGCUUCAAUGGAAUUUUACUCCAGGUACAAACUAUCAUGCAUUGCACAUAUGCAGAAAGGAGAAAGGCACUCCUAUUGAUGAUUUUUUUAAAUAUUUACUGUACAAGGGAACUGCAUAAUUUUGAAGGAUUCAUGGAGCCAGAGGCACUCAACUUAAUGAACAACCAUCCGAUCCUACUCUACUAGAAGAGUUCUGCAUUUUUUUGUUCAGUUAUAUGAAAUAUUCAUUCAUAUAUCUCGGUUACCUAAAACUGCACAUGCAUCUUAGGAUGCAGAGGCCAGGGGUAAUAAAAGCUUCUAUUUCUAAAAGAUAACCCACAGCUGCACAUUACUCAUUGUAAAAUUCAACUCCAGGAAGUGUGCUAAUUUAAGGUCAUAUAGAGUGAGGUGGAGACAAUAAGAUUUAUUUAUUUUACUUUGUGGGAAAUGACCCUGUAUGUUUCAGGAGAGCUACAAGGAUACAAUACAGACGAAUGAUGACUCAUGAAUGAUUAACUAAUUACUCAAAGAGGAACAAGAGAAGAGUUAAGUAUAAGCUCACAACCUCAAGAGAGGCCAAAGCAAUCCUACUAACGACAGAACAACUGGAGGGCACAACAAAUUGAGAUCAGCGAGGCUACUCCCCUUCCUGCUUAUAUGUUCAACUGGAUGCGCACCAGUUUCUAGCACUCGCGUAGCAAACCUGAUCCUAUACACAAGAGCGCAAGGGUUUGACGGUAACCUGGGAUCUGAGGAGUGAAGAGAGAGUGGCCGAGUGUUACGUCCCUCUUCUCGAUCUAUUCCACCAUGGAUCUGGAUACAAGGUCUUUGGAAGGAAUUGGGAAAGGGAGUUAGUCUUGGAGAGGGAGAUGGGGUUCGAGAGUGGGAGGAAGGGGAGAAAUGAAUACAACCGAUUAGAGCAUCUGCAAUAGUUACAACAGAUUAGACAUCUCUACGAUUAAAACAGAGUCGGACGUCGUUUUCGUUCGACCUCAUCCCUUGCGUGAGAUCCACCCCUCGUACUCCCGCAGAGAAAUCGCAGCAAAUACCUGGCUUUCGAACCCAGCCAAACCUGGA